GUAAGUACAUAUUCUUCUUGUUCAUCUCCUUUUUCUUUUAUGUGGAUAUACAUGUGUGGUUUGAUGAUAACAUGAGAAAUUGGAUGAUUUGUUAUGCUAUUUUUGUUCAGAAACAUAUUUGUAUGUGGUAAGAAUUCAUCAAUUUAAUUGUCCCCAGUGUGUCUUAGAUGAAUUAAUAAUCUAGGGUUCAUGAUGAAAUUGGGGCUUUUGUAUAAGUUGUAGUGAGCACAUGACAUGAUGACUCUUAAAUGGAUUUUAAAUAUAGUUUGGUUCAUAAUCACUAAGUUUGAUGUUUCUAACAUAAUGUAAGUGUUUAAUUGGUGUUCGAGCCAUGAAAUAAGGGUGUAUAUAAAAGGUUGGGUCGAACUGAAGAAGAAACUACACCUGGAUUUUCGCAGCUUUUACACUGAUUUUAGGCUAUUUUGUAAAAAUCAUAUAAAAUCAGCCGAGUGUCCGUUUUGGGUGUUCUUUAUAUGCUUGAAAACCUUGUGGAGUGUAGAUUAUACAGAAUUUUAGAACAAGGUAAAACAUGGCCGUUAAGUGGGUCAAAAAUGUGAAAUACUACAGGCUAUACAUGCUGUGUAAAAUGUUAAGUUCAUCUAAUGAAUCUAAAAAAAAUAAUAAAAAAUUAUUUCUCAAUUUAGGUAGAACUUGGGUUAUAGGUUCCAAUGGACCAAACAUGUUUACAAAUGUAUGAUUUAGUUAUUGUGAAUCCAAAAGUGUGGUAAACGAACGUAGUAUACAAUAUGAACUUUUGAAACGGGUCAAACACAAAGCAAAAGAUUCAUAGUUUUUAAUUGACACCACUUAUGUAAACAUGAUUGAAUAUGUGUGUUUUACCUAGUUUCCUUCUUAUUGGCUAGUUUGAAUUUAGAAGAUUAACUAAAAUCCAAUAAGGAACGCAAGGUGGAAGCUUUGGGCAAACAAGGUAAGUGUUUUAUAAUUUAUUCUACAAUUCUAUAUAUAAGAUUGUGCAUUACAAGAAUCCUUUACAGAUAUACUAAAGAGAAAAAUGCUCGGAUAGUUCCUGUGGUUUCGCCUUUUUUCACCUUUAGUCCCUAACUUUCUAAAAUUACCUCAAUAGUCCCCAACUUUUCAUUUUUUGUUCCCGGAUAGUCCCUGGGUCUAACUUCAGUUUGUUUUCUCUGUUAAAUGGGUGUGAAAUGACCAAUUUACCCUUUCCUUAAAAAGGGCAAACCACAGGGACUAGAUCAGAAACAUUAUCAUCUUUCACCAUUAAAACCCUUCUUCCUCUUCUCUGUGUUUUCUCCGGCGAACAAGACCCACAUCACCUCACCCUAUUUCACCUCCGAUUACCCCAUCAUUAAUCACCGCCGGCGACCACCUCUCCACUGUCAAACCUCCAAUCGAUCACCACCAAUCGCAUGUUCAAUAAAUUUCAUCACCGUAAUGAAACCACGAUAUAUUACAUAAUCACUCUAACAAACCUCGUAGAUCGUUGUUGGCAGAGACCCAUCUUGUUACAAAAAGAAGUACUUAGAAACAAAUUUCAGCACAUGAAUGAAGCAAAUUUUCAGAAUGAACUGGAAACGAGACGCACAUCAAGUCUAAGAUAAUACACUCUAUUGAGUUCUAGUCUGGUCAACUUAAGGCAAUUUCUAAAAACAUAAUCGUUAUCAUCGAUAAAACACAAAUCUGCAUCCCAUUUAACAGUUUUCUUCUUAGGGUUAGAUGCUUGUAUUGCUGCUCUAUCAAUAUCAUGUUGCUCUUUUGCUUUGUUAGCAAGCUCUCUAAUAGUUAUGAAGUCGGUUCCUUCAGGUAUCUCCACUAAUACAGUCAUCCCAUUCGGCAACAGGAUUUGGGUGUUUUUGGAGCAAGAAGAAUGUUACCUGAGGGUGAUUACUCUGUUCCGUCCGAUGCGGCUGCCGCCCCGCUCCCGUCGCUCAUCGGAGUUACCAUGGUGGUGAUCGAUCGGAGGUUUGACAGUGGAGAGGUGGUCGCCGGCGGUGAUUAAUGAUGGGGUAAUCAUGUUGGAAUUAAUUGACCCGGAUCCGACCCAGGUCCGAUCCGCCCACAAAACUGAUCAAUAAUUGGCACUUAGGCAGUUUUUUGUGACGGUUAAGAAACUGUCACAAAAGACCUAUAAAACAAGGCAAUGUGAUUAGAAGUACGUGUGUGUGAAUUUGACGGUUCACAUAAUACAAUCCGAAGGGCAGUGAAGAGUGUGCAAACAAGAGAAAUUUAGAUUGUGAUUCAAGAAGAUUUUCCCAUUGGUGAUCAUCUUCGAACCGGUGAAAUAAACUCUACUCGAUCCGCUUCCGCAAUACAAUCCGAAACUUUGUGUUCAAACAUGGCUUCUGCAUCAAAGAACAUUGUUGCUGAAAUGAAUAAGGGAAUCAAACUCAAUGGGGAUAACUAUGAAAUCUGGAGCAUGAAAAUCCAGUAUGUCUUGGAAGAGCAAGAGGCUCAUGAGGUUCUUACUGACAUUUUGGAGGAACCCCCGGAAGGAAACACGGCUCAACAUAAACGAGACCGUGAACUGUACAACACUUGGAAAAGGAAAAACACCCUUGCUCGCAUCACUCUGUUGAGCAGUAUGGAUGAUGACAUAAUGCGUGAUUUCAGCAAGUACGAUCUCGCAAAAGACAUGUGGUCUGCUUUAGCCAAUAAGUUUGGCGCAACCUCAAUUACUAAACUGAGAUCGUUGACUAUCAAGUUUGACCAAUACAUAAAGAAACCUGAUCAUACUAUGAAAAAGCAUCUCAGGGAGAUGUCAAACAUGAUAAGUGAUCUGAAAAAUGCUGGACACAUCCUUACUGAUGAACAACAGGUUCAGGAGGUGAUUCGUUCCUUGCCUCAAAGUUGAGAAAUCAUGAAAAUGAACCUCACCCAUAACGAAACCAUUCUGACUUUUGAAGACUGUGCACGUCAUUUGGAACUUGAAGAAGAUCGGCUUGAGGCUAGUAAGUCACUUGCUGAAGAAACACUUUCGUCAUAACAAACGGAAAGGGUUUCGAGUCGGAAAGAAGGCAAUAAACAACACACAAGACAAGGGAAAGCGUCCCUUUAAGAAGAAAUUGAACAUGGCAAAAGUGAAAUGCUACAACUGUAACAACAAAGGGCACUUUGCUCGUGACUGUACCGAUCAGAAAAAGACUCAGGAGCCACAGACCACAUCUCAAAAGACAGAAACACCUUCGUAAAUUUUCGCCGAGUUCCGCAAGGGGCAAUGUGGAUAUAUGUAGGAAAUAACUCAAGAGUUGAAGUUGAAGGCAUUGGAUCGUGCAAGUUAGUCAUGCGCGAAGGACAUACCUUAAUCCUACAUGAUGUAUUAUAUGCUCCUCAAAUUCGACGAAACUUGAUUUCUGUUUUAGCAUUAUUAAAACUAGGUUAUGACUGGCACUUUCAUGGUAAUGUUGUUGAAUUGUCUUUAGACAAGACGUCUUAUGGUAAUGGUUAUGUACUAAAUGGUUUUAUUGUAAUGGAUGUUGAUUAUCUAAGUCGUAAUGUAAGUGCUUCUUUAGUUGCA
This is a long non-coding RNA of Helianthus annuus (common sunflower), 3490 nucleotides long. RefSeq lists it as uncharacterized. The record is from RefSeq and is a predicted model, not a curated record. The transcript has 3 exons. Lineage: Eukaryota; Viridiplantae; Streptophyta; Magnoliopsida; Asterales; Asteraceae.